GGUUGUCUUCAUAACCCAUGGUGAUUGCGGCGGCAGUUACACGGUGGUGCGAUUGAAAACUGGGGAUUGCGGCAAUUACACAAUGGCUUGCGAUUGAAAAUUGAUAUAGAAUUGGCAAACAGUGAAUUAUAUCAAAUUUAAUUUUGACAGCAACUAGGUAUAUAUAGAUAGGAUAUAGGAGUAUAGGAUAACAAAUCUUUUAUUUAUCAAAUAGAAAGAUAUAUGCUUAACCAAAA
RNAcentral lists this long non-coding RNA (236 nucleotides) under Trifolium pratense (red clover). Its description in RNAcentral is "long non-coding RNA (TPRA_LNC005275)". The record is from RNAcentral. Lineage: Eukaryota; Viridiplantae; Streptophyta; Magnoliopsida; Fabales; Fabaceae.